Taeniopygia guttata (zebra finch) is the source of this 6130-nucleotide non-coding RNA. Lineage: Eukaryota; Metazoa; Chordata; Aves; Passeriformes; Estrildidae. The record is from RefSeq and is a predicted model, not a curated record.
CACACAGGGCUCUGUUGGGGCCAAAUGUACAUUACACAGUGAGAUAGUAGAGAUACUUCACACAGGCAAAAUAUGCUGAAUAGCAAGACAAAAAACAGCCCUUUUUAUUUUUUUAGUUUCAGGGGAACUUGAUGUGAUUGAAGAGCAGUGGUGUCUUCCUUAGCGGAGAAAGACGAAAAUGGGGCAAAAAAUCACCUAAUGGAUGGGUACCAGGGAGUCUUCAACAUCAGUUGUGGGAGUGAUUGGCAGCUGUUCUUCUUUGACCUUCAACAACUCCACAACAUAAAGUUCCUCUGAGAGACCAGGCAAAAUAGAAAGCUGCUUCAUUUCCUCUGUCUCCAAGGCACAGCUGAAAGCCCACUACAUUUGGAUCUUUGAAGUACCUUCUCCAAAAUGUUAACUUUUUAUCUUCUGACUUUCCACAUGAGGUGAAGGGCAGAAUAGCAGAGCAUGUACAGCUCUGGCAAAACUGCAUUUUUUGGUAAAAAGUGGGAAGUCUUCUAGAAUUAAGCUGGAGGACAGGAAUGGGUGUCCUGAAUAACCAGAAAGAAUUACAUUUAUAAACUCCCAAACACUGAGUUACAGACAAUCUGUGUGUGAAGUAGUAACAACAAUUUCAAAAUGGGAAAGUGGUCACUGAUUAGGGAAGAAUUUGAUUUGAGAGCGAUUCUUAAGGAAAAUUUAGAGGUCAGUGAUGCAGUGCUAGUGCUACAACAGAAAUGCCCAGUAGAAACAUUAGUAUAUUGGUCAGUUUAAGAAUCAAAACCCAUGCUCUGCACUUAUUGCCGAAAAUUAAAAUACACUGGGCAAGUUUUUACUCUGAAUUGAGCACUUACUUCUUGAAGGUUUCACAUCACCUUUCCUCUCCAUUUUUUUUGCCCUCCAAGAGUUUUUUUUUACUGUGUUUUAUUAUAAUUUCAAUUUAUGAUAACUGCAAAUCAGUCUCCCCAGAUCCUGCUUUGCCAAGGACUCUUGGGGUCCUUCCCCAUCGGCAGUACUGCUGCCUUCUGCACUAAGACACUGCAGGGUAUAUUUCUGUGAAUGGUCAAGAUAACACCUGGGAGGUCUGGCAUCAAGAAAUGUACAGAACUUCAUGGUAAGUUUUACUCUGUGGAGAGUAAAAGCUCCAAGCUACACUAGCCCUUGGAACAGACAAAGUGGCAUUCCGUAAAGAAGCUGAGAAUUUCAUUAACACCCUCAGUGAAGAGUGCCUAGUCUUGAGUUAUGAAGGAUGCACCAAUUUAGUAUUAUUCAGACUGGUGUCAACAUUGUCCAAGGUGAUGCAUUACACAACUCUCAGUGACCACAGCAAGGGCUCCUGUCACUAAAGAAUUAUUUAAUCUUCAGAGUAAAAGCUAAAUGAAUAGUCAGGGCUAAACCAGGGCAUCAUAUUUAACCUCAAGCAUAAUGGUACUGUAGUCAUUGUCUUGGGCAGGAGGGAAAAAAGUAGACCAAAUAUUCCCCAGGAAUUUACUGAAAUGGCUGCAGUAUGACUGGGCAAGAAGAUUUUGAUGGAGAGCAGUGAAACUCACAAAGCACCUUCUUUUUUUUUUUUUUCCUGUUCUUAUUUAAAACCACACAAAAUCAUUGAGAAGUAAUGAAAUAUCAUUUACCCUAUGCCAGCACAAACAACUCCUCCAUGUCAGGCAAAGAAGACACCAUCUGUCAUUUUUUCUCUUCAAGUUAUAGAAUAAAGAACUGACUAAAACAUUUUGGGGCAUAAUUUCGAGAGAAACUUUACCAUGGCCUAUGAAGAACCAGUGGCAGAGAACCAGUACCUCUAGCUCUGGAAAGGGUCUGAGCAACUCCUGGCUGAACAGAACUGGUCAACAAGCAAACUCUACUCUCUGUAAAUCAGCAUUCAAAGUCUAGCAAGAUCUAAUACCCCAGAUGUUGUCCUGGUUUCACCUAAUGUACAAAUGUUAAGAUACUUGAAACAUGUGGCAAGAUAUGUGAUCUAUUUAUCUAGCAGAUGUAACCUAAAUAAAUUCCUUUUUUUUUUUUUUUCCCCCAACAGUAAGAAGCAUUACUCCAAGCAGGAGCACUGGCAAAUUUUAUGUAGGUCUGACUGAGAGGACAGAGAACUGCAAAAGGCUAAGAGAAAAGCAAAGAACAUGGCCUAGAUGUGUAUAGUUCCUUCUGCACAACAAAUAUUUGAAGACUCUUCAGUGAAGAUUCCUAAGUGAGGAGUCUUCAGUCUGAAAGAAGAGUGACAAUUGAAUGAGGUCCAUAACAGAUGUCAAGAAAGCCCAAGUACACAGAGCUAUUGAAUGGGGAUUAACUGUUCACUGUGUUCCAGCACCAGAGCUAGGGAGGGCACCACAUGAAAGUAACAGAAGGCAGAUAGAAAACACGCAAACAGAGAUGGUUUUCCUCACAGCACAUGGCAGAUUUUUGGACAGUAUUAUUUUACACAGGUUUGAAAAGUGAGUAGGCAAAUUCAUAGGAGAAAAAUCCAUAACCAGUAAUUAAUUUAAUCAAGUCCUAUAAAAAUAUCUGUCUGCAAAUGGUCAAAAGGUGAGAGAGUGUAUGUGUGAAAAUUAAUUUGUGAUUAACUUGUUAUAUUCAUCUACAGGUAGCUGCCCUUGGCCAUUGCAAGAGACAUUCUUAUAUUCUUUCAAGUGUAUUAUGAAACUAUGAAAAUCAUUAUGGAUGUCUUAAAUACUACUAUAAUAUUUUACAGAAGUAUACUAUACUGUUUUGGCAAUUUAAGGAACAUUAUGCCAUAAAUGCCCCACAUUUUCUCUGGGGCAUGAGUUGCCCACUUCUUUUUACUUUCUCCUAAAGAUAAUAGGAUUUAUGCCGGAGGUGAAAUAAUAUUCUAAAUUUGCAGUCUCCUGUUCUGGUUGCUUAGACUAUCUCAAAAAGAAUGCAAAUGCCAUUCUUAAACUUAAACCUAUUUCAAUACUGAUAUUGCAUUUUUUUUCAUGAUUUUCAAUCUUGAGCUGAAAUCAGUCUCAUAAAUAUUCUGGGUCUUGUAUCACACAGUAACUUCUGCUUCCUGAAAAAAAAAAAAAACCAAACACCAAAACACAGAAAUUCAAAAAUAUUGUGGGAGAUCAGUGAAUAAGUAAUGAUAUUUUUCUUCCAUUAAGCAGCACCAGGGAAAAAAAAAAAUAAACAAAACCACAAUCAACCUAAAGCCAAAGAAAAAAAUGCCAGAAAUAAAAUGAGCAUAAAAGAAAUAAUUGAAGAAAAGAAUAAUGGCAGUAUAGGAAAAAAAGAUAAUUAAAAAUUCACUUAUCAACCCCCCCAUAUCUCCUGUUAAAAUGAAUAGAUAAAAUUUAAUCUACUGGCCUGUGUGAAGCGUGAAUUUCAUUAUUAAAAGGCUAGAUAAUGUGGGAUAGUAAAUCCAAUUUGCUGGGUGCCUUUAAAUGCUAAACCCCUUUCUCUGUAACUGACUUAAACUGCCAUCUGUCAUGUUGCCAGACACUUUCUGCAGAAAUCAAGAGCUUCAAAAUUUCUCUAGUUUGACAUGGCUUGAGCUGUCUUUAAAUGACACAAAAAAACCAAUCCAGAGAUGACCAAGAACUCAGACAGAUGCAUGUAGAGCACAGAAAUGCAGGACACGUGCACAGGUAAUCACAGCCUGCUGCACAGUGGACACAGGCACACAGAGCACUCAUAAACACAGCACAAACAGCAUCAUCCUACUCCCUCCCCUGGCUGAGCAGGACAGUGAGGAUGUAGAUCCAGCAGCUGUCCCUGGAUCCCAGCCUCCCGAGUUGUUGGCACUGGGUGUGGGAGCAUCCGAGGUACAGGACCUCUCAGAGAGUGACAACACUGAGACAAGCACUCCGUGGUCUCACACAGACACAGCACCUGCCUUUGCCCUGGAGACCCCCAGACCCUGCCAUCUCUCCAGCAGCUGUGACUCAUCUGGGCCCCCAAGAGAGAGCUCCUCCCUAAACCCAGGGAAAAACAAGGAGUUAGAAAUUAAUAUGAUAAGAAGAUAGGUCAGAUUCUGCUAAUUGGGCACAUGGGAAAGGCAGACAAGCAUAAUUAUUUAGAAACAACCAGCCUUUCUGUCAUCUUAUCUCUCUGUUUUCCUUCACUUGUUCUUCCCCAAAUCAGCUAAAUUCUUUCCUUUCCCAUCUUUGGUAUUUCCCGAAACAGCCCAUUAUAAAUCCUCUGCAAUCCUAAAAUGUUCUUCCUCUAACACAUUCUAUGCCUCUCAGCAGAAACCCCCUCAGUUCAAAAGCUGCUCCAGCCUUGAUUUUUAUUAUGACACAUGUCACAGCCAGGUAACACCACAUGGGGUGGUGGGUUCCCUGUGAGAGCUCUGGAAAAAACCUGGACAGGACACAGCUCCCACCUGGCUUUGGGCUCCUGUGUUGCUCUGGCUGUGUUCAGGUGGGCUCUGAGGAGCUGGUGGCUCCUUGGGAGCAGCCAGGAUUGGGUGUUCCUGGGCCCUUCCGUGUGCCACAGGCUCCCUGUGCUCCACUGGGGGCGUGCGCAAGGGAACAUUUUAACAUCACAGACAUGGUCACGGAAUCCACAGAUCCCUUUGAGUCCCUUUGCGUCUGGGACCCGUUGCAGGUUCUCAAAAUACAACUGAGAUUAUGUAACCAAAGAUCUCACGCAUAUCUGGAGAUGUCAGCAUGAACCUAGCCAGAGCUACUUGCCCUGCUCACCUCCCUGAGAUGCUGGUUUUCUUUAGCUGACAAGCAAUGUAGCUGGAAAUAGGGAAUCAGAGGCUGGAGAGCAGCACCACAGAGAGGGAUGGUGGUGGUCCUGGUCGGUAGCAAGUUGGAUCUAAGUCAAGCGCCCUGGCAGCCAGGAGGGCCAGCCCUGUCCUGGAGUGUAUCAGGCCCAGCAUCCCCAGGGGGCAAGGGAGGGGAUUAUCCCACUCUGCUCUGGGCUGGGGUGGCUUCACUUCCAGUGCUGGGGGCAGUUUGGGAAACCACAAUGUAACAAAGACAUUGAGCUAUCAGAGAGUGUCCAAAGGAGGUGGUGAAGGACCUUGAGGAGAAGCCUUGUGAAGAGUGGCGGAGGGCACUUGGUCUGUUCAGCCUGGAGGAGAGACUGAGAGGAGACUUAACUGGAGUCUGCAGCUGCCUCCUGAGGAAAAAGGAGAGGCAGGCACUGAUCUUUUGCCUGUGGUGCGCAGAGGCUCAGAAAAAGCAUCAACAGGACCUGAGGGAAUGGCCUGAACCUGUGUCAGGGGUAUCAAGAAAAGGUUCUUCCCCCAGUUGAGGGGGAAGAUUAACGUUAAAAUGAAAAUGUCUCAAAUUGUUUGGAUUUUAUGCUGAACUGUUGCUUAAAAAUUUUGUUUACUAACGUUAAAUUUAAAAGCACUAGAAAAGCCACACGUGCCUUGGCAGUGACACGUGCCCAGGGAGAACGAGCAGCUGCGGAUCGGCGGGAGGAGGAGGUCAGAGAGGCUCCGUCGCUACGAUGACUUCCCCGAGCAACCCCCUUCGAGCCCCCCUCGAGGCAGGGGGGAGGCUCCGUCGCUAGGACGAUCAGACUGUGGGAGGGGCCAGGCUGUAUAUAAGGAAUUACGAGCCGCCCCGCAGCGCCCAGCCCCUAGCCUGGAGCCCUAAGCACUACCUCAGCUCGCCGCCGCUGCCCCGCCGCCGCUGCCGCUGCCGCCGCCCUGCCUCGAGGCGCGAUGAUCCCGAUGCCACCCGGCACAUGCUGCGAUUCUUUCAGCAAACACAGGUCUUCCAUGCAGACAAGCUAUGGGACGGAGGGAAGAGCAGGAGCGGAAAGAGAAGCAAACCGGAGGCUGUCCCGAUCCAGAGGAUGCAGAGAGAAGAUGUGUGAAAAACCAAGGAAGUAAUACAGGACAGUUAUAAUGUUGUUGAUGCUUAUUGUACUUUGCUAAAAUAAAGAACGAAAUAUGUAAAUCCUGUAUCCAUUAGGAAGAGUUUCCAGAAUUUCAAACUGUUUCUCUAGAAAACAGAAUUCAGUCACGUUUCAGCGCAGGCUUUUGGCAUGCUCUUGAUUAAUGUUAACCUAAAUGACCAACGUUAAUAUUCCCCAGGAACAGAUAACAUUGUAAACGUUUUCCAACAUUUAACGUUGUACAACCAAAAGUUUUCCAACAUUUAACAUUGUAAAAGUUUUCCAAAACUAAGUGUCCAGUUAUACAUUUUAACAAAUUAAACUUCGGUGUUGUUUCCUA